Molecule: small nuclear RNA, 19 nt
Filed under: Arabidopsis thaliana (thale cress)
Lineage: Eukaryota; Viridiplantae; Streptophyta; Magnoliopsida; Brassicales; Brassicaceae
Description: snRNA_09567
Source: RNAcentral
GAAAUGAUUAGAGUAUCCU